CGCUAUGGAAACUGAAACGAACAGUGUGGUCUAAAGGAAAGAGAAGUCGUAACAAGGCAUCGGUAGGUGAACCUGCCGAUGGAUCAUU
Molecule: ribosomal RNA, 88 nt
Filed under: Foraminifera environmental sample
Lineage: Eukaryota; Foraminifera
Description: partial Eukaryotic small subunit ribosomal RNA
Rfam family: Eukaryotic small subunit ribosomal RNA
Source: RNAcentral